UUGUCAUGCCAAUGGCACUGCCCGGUAGCUAAAUGCGGAAGAGAUAAGUGCUGAAAGCAUCUAAGCACGAAACUUGCCCCGAGAUGAGUUCUCCCUGAGACUAUAAGUCUCCUGAAGGAACGUUGAAGACGACGACGUUGAUAGGCCGGGUGUGUAAGCGCAGCGAUGCGUUGAGCUAACCGGUACUAAUGAACCGUGAGGCUUAACCUUACAACGCCGAAG
RNAcentral lists this ribosomal RNA (222 nucleotides) under Klebsiella pneumoniae. Its description in RNAcentral is "partial 23S ribosomal RNA". It matches the Rfam family "Bacterial large subunit ribosomal RNA", at positions 2721 to 2925 of the family's 2925-position model. Lineage: Bacteria; Pseudomonadati; Pseudomonadota; Gammaproteobacteria; Enterobacterales; Enterobacteriaceae. The record is from RNAcentral.